GGGGAUUUAGCUCAGUGGUAGAGCGCUUGCCUAGCAAGCAGAAAGCCCUGGGUUCGGUCCCCAGCUCUG
This 69-nucleotide transfer RNA is filed under the name Rattus norvegicus (Norway rat). It matches the Rfam family "tRNA". Rfam says of the family: Transfer RNA (tRNA) molecules are approximately 80 nucleotides in length. Their secondary structure includes four short double-helical elements and three loops (D, anti-codon, and T loops). Lineage: Eukaryota; Metazoa; Chordata; Mammalia; Rodentia; Muridae. The record is from Rfam by way of RNAcentral.